AAGCAUGUUCAAAGCUUUAGGAGCUAAUGGACGUUUAUUUUCUCUUUUUGUAAUUUGUUUGUUUGAAGGUGCUUAGAGGAAAACAUAAGAAACCUCUUUUGUCAAAGCAUCUUUAGGUCUUUAGUUUAGGAGUCUUAGGGGGGUGUGCGUUUAGUAGAGAGGUGUAGAGGUAAUAGGGAGGUGCCAAAGUGAGAGAGGAAGUCACACCUUCCUCAUGCUUGGCACCACUUUCAUGUAUUUGGGGGGAAUUUUGGAUUUAAUUAGCUUUGCAUUUCAGCACCUCUAGGCUAUAAAUUAAGGUGCUGCCCUUGUAUUUUUCAGAUUGGAAAUUUGUAUUAAUGAAACUCUACUCAAUUUGAGAGAGAAUUGGAG
RNAcentral lists this long non-coding RNA (372 nucleotides) under Phaseolus vulgaris (common bean). RNAcentral's name for it is "long non-coding RNA (PVUL_LNC002207)". The record is from RNAcentral. Lineage: Eukaryota; Viridiplantae; Streptophyta; Magnoliopsida; Fabales; Fabaceae.